GCAGGCCGCCCCCUCCUUUCUCCGCGCUCGCUCCCGGUCGACAUGGCGGCCGGGCCGCAGGUGAGCAUAGCAUGGUGUCAAGCAAGGGUAAAAACACUCACCUGCCUGGGAAGCUGAUUCCUUCACUGGACUGUCAGUAAACCUGCACCAGCUGCACAAUGAAGAGGUGGAGAAGAAGUGAGCAGAGGACAGACUUUAUACAGAGUACUGUUGCUAACAGUGUUCAAUACAACUUGUGUUUAGGAGGAAAUUGUCCUGCAGAAUCCUGGGGUUGUACUGUUGCCCAAAGACAGCUUUGGCAAGAGGACAGCUGCUAAGCUGGGCUUCAAGCUGAAGAAGGCUGAACCAGCAAACUCAACAACAGACUUCUUGACAAGUCAAGAAGCAACGGAAGGAAGAUUGUUCUGGAGCGGGUCUCACAAAUGAUACCGUCAUUUGAAACAGUGUAAAAUGACCACUUGGGCGUAACCGCAGGCUUCUCGCUGCUCAGCGUUUGCUGCAACCACAUCAUGGGACCUGGUCUACAGCUGGCUGGAGGAAAAAGUGGUUCCCUGCUGUCUUCUGUUCCAGAAUAAAAUAAGUUAUGGA
Molecule: long non-coding RNA, 588 nt
Organism: Haliaeetus leucocephalus (bald eagle)
Lineage: Eukaryota; Metazoa; Chordata; Aves; Accipitriformes; Accipitridae
Exons: 6
Source: RefSeq, a predicted model, not a curated record